This 1859-nucleotide long non-coding RNA is filed under the name Homo sapiens (human). RNAcentral describes it as "HSALNT0212685". The record is from RNAcentral. Lineage: Eukaryota; Metazoa; Chordata; Mammalia; Primates; Hominidae.
CUCCUAUCAGUGCUUGGUACCAGCAUGAGCUAACUUUAUGCCUCAAAUCAAUAGGACAAUUUGCUGAGGUCUGAGAGCACCCCCUCCAGAGAAUCUCUGAUCUCUCAAAAUGUGGUCGAGAUCAUAAGUUUAUUUUGCUGUACAACUCCUCUCUUUUUUUUUUUUUUUUUUUUUUUUGGAGUUUUAUUCGCUUCCAACACAAGGAAAGCAAGUUUUUUCUGCUUCUUUGAUGAUGGAAGGCAGGUAACUCCUUUAUGGAGUUUGAGCUCACUUCUAACAGGGAAGAUGAGUUGUUGUUCUUUUCCCCUGCUUCUAGGAUGGUAGAGAGCAGUCUUCAGCCUGAGACCCAUUCCUUAGAGUCUCGAUCUGUUGCCAGGCUAGAGUGCAGUGGCGUGAUCUCGGCUCACUGCAACCUCCACCUCCUGGGUUCAAGUGAUUCUCCUGCCUCAGCCUCCCGAGUAGCUGGGCCUACAGGUGCGCAGCACCACACUCAGAGCCUUAAAACUUUUCUUUUGAGCUAUUGACAGCUUUUAACAGUUCAGUAUAAUUCUAUGAACAAAAUUUGGAGCAUAUUUGUUUCUCUCUACAUAAUUUCUCCAGAAUUUGGAAACUAUUUGCACAGAAGCCCCAGGUUUAUCUUGGAAUGUCAACAGGAGAGGAAAUUCACUCAACUCACAGGUAUUUGAUGACACAUAUCUAUGGCUGGGCUUGGCUUUAAAAAGUCUUACCUGAGAUUCCUCUUAUGGAGGAAGUUCCACCAAAGCCAAUUUAAAAGCCUGUGUAAAAAAUAAUUAUUCUCGCUGCACUGUAGGCAAAUAAUUAGGCCAAGUGUAAUAAAGCAAACCAGUUCUAGCAUGAUUUAUCUUUAGUAAAAAUGGGAAACUGGAGAAAAAUUUUUUCAAAACUAUAGUACACCUGUUGUUAGAUUCUAGUCUUGCCUAAUGUUUUUUCAAUUUUUAUUAUUUUCUACAGUUUGAACCAAAUUCUAAUUUUUCUUGGCUACAAGUCUUCAAAAUAAUAUUUUCAGGUUUUUUCUUUUUUUUCCAUUUUGCCCAAUUUGGAGUCACUGAAAACUCAGCUGUGCUUUCUUAAAGCCCUGUGAACUGAAGCUAAACAACUCAAACCUCAGAAGAAAAUAACAGUAACCUAUUUACAUACAUAAGCCACUUUCAUACCUGCCUACUAAUGUAUGAACUUUAGAGUAAUGUGGCCUAUCUCAAUUUUUCCAGGAUUGUUCUUUUGUUUGUUGUUGUUUUUCUCCCUUCCUCCCCGCAUUUUCUCUUUAUAGGACAUGAGACUUCACAACCUGCUAAAAAUGGGCUUUUGAGGCCUACCCGUCUAGGAAUAAACUGUCCUUGCCAUGAGAGAUCAGAUGAAACCUGAGACCAGAGAUUCACUUUCUUCUAAAAUGCUUUCUCCAAAAGAUUUUUAAAAAGAAAAGGGGGGAAAUGUGAAAGGAAAAUAUCUUGGCCCCCUCAAGCUGGGAACCACUCAGGGCAAACCUGUCGCCCAUUCUAUUCAAAGUCAUCCCUCUGCUCACAGAGAUAGACGCAUAUUCUGAUUGCCUCCUUUGAAAAGACUGAUCAGAAACUCAAAAGAAUCUCCCAUAGAUCUGUGACCUGGAAACCUGGGGGUGCGAGGGACGGGGUGGGGCGAGGGUUGCUUUGAGUUGUCCCCGCCUUUCUGGACGGAACUAAUGUACUACUUACAUAUAUUGAUUGAUGUCUCAUGUCUCCGUAAAAUGUAUAAACACAUGCCUGUGCCCCGACCACCUUGGACACAUGUCAUCAGGACUUCCUGAGGCUGUGUCACGGGCCCGUCCUCAACCUUGGCAAAAUAAAUUUUCUAAAUUAACUGAG